Shewanella sp. MR-7 is the source of this 58-nucleotide non-coding RNA. NCBI's taxonomy places the organism in Bacteria, Pseudomonadati, Pseudomonadota, Gammaproteobacteria, Alteromonadales, Shewanellaceae. The record is from Rfam.
UGGUCGGCAGUUCACCUAGGCAUCGCCGCUACGAAAAAUCGUAGAGCUAAACCUGCUG